RNAcentral lists this ribosomal RNA (254 nucleotides) under uncultured bacterium. RNAcentral describes it as "partial 16S ribosomal RNA". It matches the Rfam family "Bacterial small subunit ribosomal RNA", at positions 524 to 776 of the family's 1533-position model. The record is from RNAcentral.
UACGGGGGGAGCAAGCGUUGUUCGGAUUUACUGGGCGUAAAGGGCGCGUAGGCGGUCAGCACAAGUCAGUUGUGAAAUCUCCGGGCUUAACUCGGAAAGGUCAACUGAUACUGUGCGACUAGAGUGCAGAAGGGGCAACUGGAAUUCUCGGUGUAGCGGUGAAAUGCGCAGAUAUCAGGAAGAACACCCGUGGCGAAGGCGGUUCUCUGGGACGGUACUGACGCUGAGACGCGAAAGCGUGGGGAGCGAACAGG